GCCUACGGGGGGCAGCAGUAGGGAAUUUUCGUCAAUGGGCGCAAGCCUGAACGAGCAAUGCCGCGUGAACGAGGAAGGUCUUCGGAUCGUAAAGUUCUGUUGAAGGGGAAAAAGAGCGGAGAGAGGAAAUGGUCUCCGAUUGAUAUUACCCUUCGCGGAAGUCACGGCUAACUACGUGCCAGCAGCCGCGGUACUACGUAGGUGGCGAGCGUUAUCCGGCAUGAUUGGGCGUAAAGGGUGCGUAGGCGGCCUGCUAAGUCUGGAGUGAAAGGUACCGGCUCAACCGGUACAGGCUCUGGAAACUG
Molecule: ribosomal RNA, 305 nt
Filed under: uncultured bacterium
Lineage: Bacteria
Description: bacterial SSU rRNA
Rfam family: Bacterial small subunit ribosomal RNA
Source: RNAcentral